UUACAACUUUGCCAGUUAGGAUACUUACCAGAUCGACAUGAGGACCAUAGCAUCCUAAAUCUAUAACUAAACCACUUGUUUAUCUAGCUUAGCCUUCUCCGCCAAGAUGGUGUCCUAUGUACAUCAGCCCCCAGUAAAUUAACCUACACAGCAAACUUUUUCUUCAACUUUAUUUUAAUUUAUGACUACCCACCCCCAGAACUUUGGAGGAAGUGUGCAAAUAGAAAAACAUAGAAAAUUGAAAACAAGUUAUUGAAUGACUGGCAAAGACAAGUAACAAAUUUUACAUGGCCUAAUAAAAGAUUGAGGAUUAAAUGUAAGAAACCGCAGAUCUCAGAAGACCAAGGCAAUCUGGCAGCCCUGAACUUCAAACUGUAUUAACCAGGAUAGCUGUUUAAUUUGGAUUACAUAUUGGAUUUUAUCACUCUGUGGUUGUGUUACCUUGUUUGAGGGAACAGGACUCCCAGGUGGACAAAUUAUCUUUAGAUUGAUACAAAAAGAAAUGAACAGUUAUAAGAUAAUUUGUAUUAUGUACAACAAUAAACAAUGUAUUAAAGUUGGGAAUAAAUUUAAGAAGCUUUCCAAA
Pantherophis guttatus is the source of this 586-nucleotide non-coding RNA. Lineage: Eukaryota; Metazoa; Chordata; Lepidosauria; Squamata; Colubridae. The record is from RefSeq and is a predicted model, not a curated record.